This 458-nucleotide ribosomal RNA is filed under the name uncultured bacterium. RNAcentral's name for it is "bacterial SSU rRNA". It matches the Rfam family "Bacterial small subunit ribosomal RNA", at positions 340 to 786 of the family's 1533-position model. The record is from RNAcentral.
UACGGGAGGCAGCAGUGGGGAAUAUUGGACAAUGGGCGCAAGCCUGAUCCAGCCAUGCCGCGUGUGUGAAGAAGGCCUUCGGGUUGUAAAGCACUUUUGUCCGGAAAGAAAAGCUUAGGGUUAAUAACCUUGAGUCAUGACGGUACCGGAAGAAUAAGCACCGGCUAACUUCGUGCCAGCAGCCGCGGUAAUACGAAGGGUGCAAGCGUUACUCGGAAUUACUGGGCGUAAAGCGUGCGUAGGUGGUUUGUUAAGUCUGAUGUGAAAGCCCUGGGCUCAACCUGGGAAUGGCAUUGGAAACUGGCUUACUAGAGUGCGGUAGAGGGGUGUGGAAUUCCCGGUGUAGCAGUGAAAUGCGUAGAUAUCGGGAGGAACAUCUGUGGCGAAGGCGACACCCUGGGACCAGGCACUGACACUGAGGCACGAAAGCGUGGGGAGCGAAACAGGGAUUAGAUACC